RNAcentral lists this long non-coding RNA (882 nucleotides) under Rattus norvegicus (Norway rat). RNAcentral describes it as "long non-coding RNA NONRATT020197". The record is from RNAcentral. Lineage: Eukaryota; Metazoa; Chordata; Mammalia; Rodentia; Muridae.
GUCAUUCUGGGGACAGUAACAGCUGUUGGAUAUCCGCUAUGUUGCUGUGGCGGGUGUCACGACCGGACUUUCAGGGUCUUUCUCCUCCCUAGCUCAGAUUGCGCAGCGUGUUUUCUCCCAGGGCUCGUGGGCUGCGGACGCACCUAGGACCCCAGGCUCCCACCCCGAGCCAUGUCCACCGCGGAGGCCUCUGCCGUGGCGGCCGACGCCGCCGAGGUGGGCGGCAGGACGAAGACCGGCAGUCCCCGCACAAUCCCGGUGUUUGGGGUGGCGAUCCCGGAUGGGGAGAUGCAGGAUAUUUUCAAGCCUAUGGACCUUAAUCGUAUCAUCAAGCUCCUGGAAGAGGAUGAUAAGGUGAAUUAAUGAAAAUACCAAGUUCUAAAUUAAGGAUACAAAUCUGUAAGUGUAUUGUUGACUUCUAUCAUGCAGAACCACUAAAGAAACACAUUUCAGGCUACCAGCAAGUUAGCUCAUCAUUCAAGAUUAAAAUGGUAGAGGUCGGAGGAUUAGCAAAAGCAAUGGUCCAGUCUGCACUCCUGCUUGAGAAUCAGCUUGUUGAGAAACUCUGGGUUCUUAAAGUUCUGCAGCAUCUCUCUACUUCUGGAGUUAACUGCACUUUGAUGGUGAAAGCCCAAGCAGCCAGCAGAAUCUGUGCUCACCUCAACGACCCGGAUCCCUCAGGACAGCUUUUGUUUCGUUCAUCAGAAGUACUGUGGAAUUUAUUGGAAAAAUCUUCAAAGGAGGAAAUUAUACAGCAGCUCAGUAACUUGGAAUGCCUGCUGUGAGUGGAAGUAUUUAAAAAUCUGGUUAUGAGGGGGCAUAGUCACUAUGAGCGUCAGCUUAGAAAUGAUAUAUUAGUUAUCACCACAAUUAUAGCUCAGA